RNAcentral lists this ribosomal RNA (253 nucleotides) under uncultured bacterium. Its description in RNAcentral is "partial 16S ribosomal RNA". It matches the Rfam family "Bacterial small subunit ribosomal RNA", at positions 524 to 776 of the family's 1533-position model. The record is from RNAcentral.
UACGUAGGUGGCAAGCGUUGUCCGGAUUUACUGGGCGUAAAGGGCGUGCAGGCGGUUUGUUAAGUGCAGGGUGAAAGCUCCCGGCUCAACUGGGAGAGGUCCUUGCAUACUGGCGAACUCGAGGGAGGCAGAGGAAAGUGGAAUUCCUGGUGUAGCGGUGAAAUGCGCAGAUAUCAGGAAGAACACCCGUGGCGAAGGCGGCUCUCUGGGACGGUACUGACGCUGAGACGCGAAAGCGUGGGGAGCGAACAGG